UUAAGCGACUAAGCGUACACGGUGGAUGCCCUGGCAGUCAGAGGCGAUGAAGGACGUGCUAAUCUGCGAUAAGCGUCGGUAAGGUGAUAUGAACCGUUAUAACCGGCGAUUUCCGAAUGGGGAAACCCAGUGUGAUUCGUCACACUAUCAUUAACUGAAUCCAUAGGUUAAUGAGGCGAACCGGGGGAACUGAAACAUCUAAGUACCCCGAGGAAAAGAAAUCAACCGAGAUUCCCCCAGUAGCGGCGAGCGAACGGGGAGGAGCCCAGAGCCUGAAUCAGUGUGUGUGUUAGUGGAAGCGUCUGGAAAGGCGCGCGAUACAGGGUGACAGCCCCGUACACAAAAAUGCACAUACUGUGAGCUCGAUGAGUAGGGCGGGACACGUGGUAUCCUGUCUGAAUAUGGGGGGACCAUCCUCCAAGGCUAAAUACUCCUGACUGACCGAUAGUGAACCAGUACCGUGAGGGAAAGGCGAAAAGAACCCCGGCGAGGGGAGUGAAAAAGAACCUGAAACCGUGUACGUACAAGCAGUGGGAGCACGCUUCGGCGUGUGACUGCGUACCUUUUGUAUAAUGGGUCAGCGACUUAUAUUCUGUAGCAAGGUUAACCGAAUAGGGGAGCCGAAGGGAAACCGAGUCUUAACUGGGCGUUAAGUUGCAGGGUAUAGACCCGAAACCCGGUGAUCUAGCCAUGGGCAGGUUGAAGGUUGGGUAACACUAACUGGAGGACCGAACCGACUAAUGUUGAAAAAUUAGCGGAUGACUUGUGGCUGGGGGUGAAAGGCCAAUCAAACCGGGAGAUAGCUGGUUCUCCCCGAAAGCUAUUUAGGUAGCGCCUCGUGAAUUCAUCUCCGGGGGUAGAGCACUGUUUCGGCAAGGGGGUCAUCCCGACUUACCAACCCGAUGCAAACUGCGAAUACCGGAGAAUGUUAUCACGGGAGACACACGGCGGGUGCUAACGUCCGUCGUGAAGAGGGAAACAACCCAGACCGCCAGCUAAGGUCCCAAAGUCAUGGUUAAGUGGGAAACGAUGUGGGAAGGCCCAGACAGCCAGGAUGUUGGCUUAGAAGCAGCCAUCAUUUAAAGAAAGCGUAAUAGCUCACUGGUCGAGUCGGCCUGCGCGGAAGAUGUAACGGGGCUAAACCAUGCACCGAAGCUGCGGCAGCGACACUAUGUGUUGUUGGGUAGGGGAGCGUUCUGUAAGCCUGCGAAGGUGUACUGUGAGGUAUGCUGGAGGUAUCAGAAGUGCGAAUGCUGACAUAAGUAACGAUAAAGCGGGUGAAAAGCCCGCUCGCCGGAAGACCAAGGGUUCCUGUCCAACGUUAAUCGGGGCAGGGUGAGUCGACCCCUAAGGCGAGGCCGAAAGGCGUAGUCGAUGGGAAACAGGUUAAUAUUCCUGUACUUGGUGUUACUGCGAAGGGGGGACGGAGAAGGCUAUGUUGGCCGGGCGACGGUUGUCCCGGUUUAAGCGUGUAGGCUGGUUUUCCAGGCAAAUCCGGAAAAUCAAGGCUGAGGCGUGAUGACGAGGCACUACGGUGCUGAAGCAACAAAUGCCCUGCUUCCAGGAAAAGCCUCUAAGCAUCAGGUAACAUCAAAUCGUACCCCAAACCGACACAGGUGGUCAGGUAGAGAAUACCAAGGCGCUUGAGAGAACUCGGGUGAAGGAACUAGGCAAAAUGGUGCCGUAACUUCGGGAGAAGGCACGCUGAUAUGUAGGUGAAGCGACUUGCUCGUGGAGCUGAAAUCAGUCGAAGAUACCAGCUGGCUGCAACUGUUUAUUAAAAACACAGCACUGUGCAAACACGAAAGUGGACGUAUACGGUGUGACGCCUGCCCGGUGCCGGAAGGUUAAUUGAUGGGGUUAGCGGUAACGCGAAGCUCUUGAUCGAAGCCCCGGUAAACGGCGGCCGUAACUAUAACGGUCCUAAGGUAGCGAAAUUCCUUGUCGGGUAAGUUCCGACCUGCACGAAUGGCGUAAUGAUGGCCAGGCUGUCUCCACCCGAGACUCAGUGAAAUUGAACUCGCUGUGAAGAUGCAGUGUACCCGCGGCAAGACGGAAAGACCCCGUGAACCUUUACUAUAGCUUGACACUGAACAUUGAGCCUUGAUGUGUAGGAUAGGUGGGAGGCUUUGAAGUGUGGACGCCAGUCUGCAUGGAGCCGACCUUGAAAUACCACCCUUUAAUGUUUGAUGUUCUAACGUUGGCCCCUGAUCGGGGUUGCGGACAGUGUCUGGUGGGUAGUUUGACUGGGGCGGUCUCCUCCUAAAGAGUAACGGAGGAGCACGAAGGUUGGCUAAUCCUGGUCGGACAUCAGGAGGUUAGUGCAAUGGCAUAAGCCAGCUUGACUGCGAGCGUGACGGCGCGAGCAGGUGCGAAAGCAGGUCAUAGUGAUCCGGUGGUUCUGAAUGGAAGGGCCAUCGCUCAACGGAUAAAAGGUACUCCGGGGAUAACAGGCUGAUACCGCCCAAGAGUUCAUAUCGACGGCGGUGUUUGGCACCUCGAUGUCGGCUCAUCACAUCCUGGGGCUGAAGUAGGUCCCAAGGGUAUGGCUGUUCGCCAUUUAAAGUGGUACGCGAGCUGGGUUUAGAACGUCGUGAGACAGUUCGGUCCCUAUCUGCCGUGGGCGCUGGAGAACUGAGGGGGGCUGCUCCUAGUACGAGAGGACCGGAGUGGACGCAUCACUGGUGUUCGGGUUGUCAUGCCAAUGGCACUGCCCGGUAGCUAAAUGCGGAAGAGAUAAGUGCUGAAAGCAUCUAAGCACGAAACUUGCCCCGAGAUGAGUUCUCCCUGACUCCUUGAGAGUCCUGAAGGAACGUUGAAGACGACGACGUUGAUAGGCCGGGUGUGUAAGCGCAGCGAUGCGUUGAGCUAACCGGUACUAAUGAACCGUGAGGCUUAACCUU
Molecule: ribosomal RNA, 2903 nt
Filed under: Escherichia coli
Lineage: Bacteria; Pseudomonadati; Pseudomonadota; Gammaproteobacteria; Enterobacterales; Enterobacteriaceae
Description: bacterial LSU rRNA
Rfam family: Bacterial large subunit ribosomal RNA
Source: RNAcentral